AGGGGGAUUCCAGAAACAGUCCAAGGCAGGCCACACACCUCAUUAGUUCAUUUUGAUUAGUCUCUUUUAUCCAGUUGUUAGGAAGGUGAACAGUGAUAGACGAGGCAGUCCUGAGAUUUUUAUCCCCUGAAUUAUAUACAGUUUGGCAAGAUGAGAUAAACCACGGAGAGAGCACAUAGAACCUGACAUGUAUAUAGCCAGAUUGACUUGUAAGAUUGUGUGAGGUUGCCUGAAAUCCUAACUCCACAGCCCUUCUUCAUUUUUCUUGCAAAGCUUUGAGGGCUUAUGCUUUGACAGCCUUUUUUGACUUUUGGCUCCUUGUCCAUUUGUGCCAUCUCUUCUUCUAUCAACCUGGGCUGAGAACCAGGACAGCUGUUCACCAGGAUGCAGAACCAGGUUGGACCCUGCACACGGGUGCCCUGCCCAGCGGCAGGGUGGCAACUAAAGCGAGCUUCAGUUCAGAUUUCCGAAGAAAGACCAGAGGGAAGGGUCUGAGGAGCUUAGAGUCACCCUUGCUGUUUGAAUAUGCUCCCGUGAGUUAUCCAAGUAUUCCUGCCAAAUGAAUGCAAAGCUCUCCCUACGGUAAUAUCUGGGAGGAACGUUUUCUCGAGCUCAAUUUGUUGGCGGUAACCAAAGCAAAGCGGUGUAUCUUUGCUAAGCUGGAAUACACUGCAUGUAACACGUCGCUGAACGGUGCUGGUUGUGGCAGCAGACCUGCCUUCAGGGAUCUCCCCCCUUCUUGGGCUCAGAAACCAAGCUGUUGAAGCCGGCUGAGAGCGGCAGUUCGGAGGAGCAGCUGAAAGCUAUUUCACCAUGAAGCAGACCUUGGCAGGCCUCAAAAGCUCCAUAUGGUCUGCAGCUCUGGUCUCCAGGAAGCGCCCAGCUCAUUCUCCC
This 894-nucleotide long non-coding RNA is filed under the name Felis catus (domestic cat). RNAcentral describes it as "lncRNA (ENSFCAG00000050609.1)". Lineage: Eukaryota; Metazoa; Chordata; Mammalia; Carnivora; Felidae. The record is from RNAcentral.